GAAGUGCGAUAUGUAAUGCGAACCGCAGACUUCCGCGAAUCAUCGAAUCUUUGAAUGCACCUUGCACCUGUGUGCUUUCACGGGCACAUGGGUACACCUGUUUGAGAAUUGAUUUUUUCAUCUCACACCCUCACAUUUGUAUGUGUGUGAGCAUGUUGACGUGUCAGUUGUGAUUCAUCACGACUGUCCGUUGAAAUACCACGAACCAUGGUGUUAGUGUAUGACGCGAUUGCGUGCACUCACAAUGGGAUUGGUGGAGUAGGUGUUGUUGUUGUGUUCCGCACACACACACACACACGACACCUUUCCCAGCACACAAAUCACGCACACACACACACAAACCUCAAUACCAAUCUCAAAUCAGGUGAGAACACCCGCUGAAUUUAA
RNAcentral lists this unclassified non-coding RNA (387 nucleotides) under uncultured Russula. RNAcentral describes it as "sequence contains ITS1". The stretch from base 1 to 111 matches the Rfam family "5.8S ribosomal RNA", at positions 50 to 154 of the family's 154-position model. The record is from RNAcentral. Lineage: Eukaryota; Fungi; Basidiomycota; Agaricomycetes; Russulales; Russulaceae.